Molecule: ribosomal RNA, 496 nt
Filed under: uncultured bacterium
Lineage: Bacteria
Description: partial 16S ribosomal RNA
Rfam family: Bacterial small subunit ribosomal RNA
Source: RNAcentral
GAUGAACGCUGGCGGCGUGCCUAAUACAUGCAAGUCGAGCGAACAGACGAGGAGCUUGCUCCUCUGACGUUAGCGGCGGACGGGUGAGUAACACGUGGAUAACCUACCUAUAAGACUGGGAUAACUUCGGGAAACCGGAGCUAAUACCGGAUAAUAUAUUGAACCGCAUGGUUCAAUAGUGAAAGACGGUUUUGCUGUCACUUAUAGAUGGAUCCGCGCCGCAUUAGCUAGUUGGUAAGGUAACGGCUUACCAAGGCAACGAUGCGUAGCCGACCUGAGAGGGUGAUCGGCCACACUGGAACUGAGACACGGUCCAGACUCCUACGGGAGGCAGCAGUAGGGAAUCUUCCGCAAUGGGCGAAAGCCUGACGGAGCAACGCCGCGUGAGUGAUGAAGGUCUUCGGAUCGUAAAACUCUGUUAUUAGGGAAGAACAAAUGUGUAAGUAACUAUGCACGUCUUGACGGUACCUAACAGAAAGCCACGGCUAACUACGUG